This 1918-nucleotide long non-coding RNA is filed under the name Homo sapiens (human). Its description in RNAcentral is "HSALNT0375445". Lineage: Eukaryota; Metazoa; Chordata; Mammalia; Primates; Hominidae. The record is from RNAcentral.
AACUCCUGACCUCAAGUGAUCCGCCCACCUCGGCCUCCCAAAGUGCUGGGAUUACAGGCAUGAGCCACCGCUCCGGGCCCUUGCACAUAUUUUUUUAUGAACACACAGGCAGCAGCACUUUGAUUACAGUAACUUACAUGGAAGUUAUUUUAAAAUGGCUUUCCCCUUCUCUUUUUCAUGUAGGCUGCAUUUUUCAUCUGCAGCACGCUUUCUCUCAAGAAUCUCAAGCACACACAAGAAACCAGAGAGUAAAAUCACUGAGGCGUGAACACAUCCAGAGACCAAGGGCGUCACUGGCAGAAAAGCUUUUAGGCGGAUCCACGGCCCGAGAGCCACCCUGCCCAGAGACGCGGUUUCCUAGGAGCAGUUCACACGCGGCUCUGCAGCACCCACAAGCGGGGCCAGGGGCUGGUUUUCAUAGUUCACAGUCUGCAGGGAUCUUAACAAAAACAUGGCCGUGGUAAAAGUGCCUAGACCAGGCUUUCGUCACAACUCAUCAUGUUACUAGGUUAGGAUAAUAAAAAGGACUGUGAACUUCACAUCUGCCAUCUAUAAUAGAUUCUUAUUGUAGCAAUCUUGCACCAAGGGGAUUUCUUUAUUAACUCUGCCAAAUUUUCCAAAAUUACCAAAUGGAGAAAAGAGCUGGUCCCAUCUGUCACCAGGCACAACCAGGAAGUGUCAGAAGACUUUCAGAAGCACAUGCAGUUGCAGCUCCAGUGUUUCAACAGUUGCCCAUUUCCAAGGCCUCCUAAAUACGUAUGAGGCCUGUGGACAACUUUCUCCUCAGCUGUUACAGAACCUGGACAACUUGUAGUGAAGACCUUCCACACCAGUAACAUAUUUUGGUGAGCCAGUCGGGAGGAGGCUAAAAAACUUGCCCAACGUCACAUGGCUGGGAGUGGAAGAGCCAGGAAGAGUCCAGGAGGUAUGACUCCAGACCAGGCCUCUGGACCACUGCACUCCCACUACCUCUCCAGGCAGGGAUGCAGUCAUCAGUCAAUAGAAGCAGUCCACACAAACCAACCCUAUAAAAAAUUAACUCUCUAACUGGAGAGUUAGAUGAAGGACACACUGUGGGCAAGGUGGGAACAGACACCCCCUAAGACAGCACUUCCCGAAUACUGCAGAGGAUACAGCAAAGCACCUCACCUCUCUUAGAAGCUCAUGCCUGUCACACCAAGGGCCCAUUAUGGACCAUCAUAAUCACCCACAACCAAUUUGGCUGAACAAACUUUCAAGUUUAUCAGAUCAAUGAUACUAUUUAAUCUUGAGAAAUGUGUAAAUCCUGGCAUUUCAAGAUGAUGUUUCCUGCAUGCAGACUUGGAUUCAGUAGACCAGAGCAGCUGGAGAUGCUGCAUUUCCAACCAGCUUCCACAAAUGCGAUGUUGCUGGUCCACGAACCACACUCUGAGCAGCAGGGAUUCGGUGAGGGUUUUCCUUCCUGACAGAGCUCACCAUUCAGUUUAGAAAAAUUUAAGGACAAAUGCAUCCCCAAACACAACUAAAUGUCAAAUGUUAAAAAUACGGAAAACAUGAGCAAACAAUCUGCUCCUUUCCAAUUUCUAAGUAGUUAUCAACUCUUACCAUAUCAGAUUUCCAGUGGAAUUUACAAAAAAAAAAAAGGGGGGGGGAGGCAGAACUGACACCCAACAAUUUAAAGCUAACAAACCUUGAAACAUAAAUGAUAUUUGAGAAAAGGUAGUAGGAAGCAGUGAUAAAGAACUAAUUGUUCUGAUGGGAAAACAAAAUUGGCCAUUUGCUACUUUCCUAAACAUUUCCUCCCCAGUUGUUACUUUUAUAGUAGGGUUCCAUUAUGUUGUUACCUGCAAUCUCAACUAUCCAGAAUUUCAGAGACAAAAUUUCAAGUUACAGAAAAGAUUUGUUUUAUGUCUAAGAAUUACUUUAAUUUAAAAAAAAG